UCGUUUAAAACUUUUAUCUCUUCCAUUAUUCAGUGUUGUAGGAUAUUUUCCAACUGCACUUGAAAAUUAGGAAGCUGAAAAAAAACAAGAGCUCAAUUUAAAGGUUGUAAUUCAUACAAGUUACCAACAUUGAUAAGUGAUACUGCAUUAAUAUUUCUCUUUCUUUUGCUAGAAUAUCUCUUUUAUACAAAUUUAGGAAGAUCUUAGGACGAUUUUUUCUGAUGGAUUUUUCCUCCUUUAUUUAUGUUUCAGGUCAUGGUCUUCUUAUCAACGUCUGACUGUUGAAAAGAGUUCUUAUGUGGGUUCUGUUUUAAUGUCUUUAUGCUUGUGAAGUACACGGUGGAGGCGCACAUGGUUGAUGAUUAUGUUCUGGGUUGGCCAUAGAGAGGGAGGCCGAAGCAAACUCCAUCAGGUUUCAGAUAGCUACUUCAAGUUAGGCGGAGAAAUAAAAAGGGUGACCAU
This is a non-coding RNA of Aegilops tauschii subsp. strangulata, 462 nucleotides long. The record is from RefSeq and is a predicted model, not a curated record. NCBI's taxonomy places the organism in Eukaryota, Viridiplantae, Streptophyta, Magnoliopsida, Poales, Poaceae.